GGCGGAAUUGGCAUACGCGUCGGUCUCAAAAACCGAUGAGGGCAACCUCAUGCGGGUUCAAGUCCCGCCCUCG
RNAcentral lists this transfer RNA (73 nucleotides) under Candidatus Omnitrophota bacterium. RNAcentral describes it as "Candidatus Omnitrophica bacterium tRNA-Leu". It matches the Rfam family "tRNA", at positions 9 to 68 of the family's 71-position model. Rfam says of the family: Transfer RNA (tRNA) molecules are approximately 80 nucleotides in length. Their secondary structure includes four short double-helical elements and three loops (D, anti-codon, and T loops). The record is from RNAcentral. Lineage: Bacteria; Pseudomonadati; Candidatus Omnitrophota.